Long non-coding RNA from Bombus terrestris (buff-tailed bumblebee), 609 nucleotides. RefSeq lists it as uncharacterized. The record is from RefSeq and is a predicted model, not a curated record. Lineage: Eukaryota; Metazoa; Arthropoda; Insecta; Hymenoptera; Apidae. The transcript has 2 exons.
UUUAUAUGACCUUGCUAAAAGGUGACUUAUGUAUUACAUUUGCCUUGAAUACAUAAUAACUGGAAUACUUGAGUAAUCGAAUAAUUAUAAUUUGUUAAAACAAGGGCAAUUAUGGAGAUAUAAAUUUCUAAGAUAUAUUUCAUAUUUUCUGCUUUUGUGGCCGAGUAUGGAAUAGAAAAAAUAUUUUUACUGGAAUAGAGAGACUUACAUACCUGAUUGUGUAAAAGAAUAUAAGAGCAUAACAAUUAAUAAUAGCAAAAACAAUAACAAAAAUAAUAAAAACGAAAUAAGGUUCAAAGUUGUCGGAAAGAAAUAGCUAUAUAGAAAAGAAAUUCCUGAACGCUAUCUGAUCAAAGACUAAAAGAGUAAAUGCGAGAAGCUAGCACAAAAAGCUGCUAAAUCAUUAACUUAAGCUGCUAUCAAAAGCUGCUAUCAUAUGUUUUAUUCACCAAAUAUACAUCAGACAGCGUUAGGAAGGCAAUAUAUAUAUAUAUUCUUGACAUAAAAUAUCAUACUUAAAGUCAUAGAUAUCAGUGAAUAAAGAAAACAAGCUGUCAGAAAACGAAUGUAUAAUAAAUUUGGCGUACUAAUGUAUGCCCGUACAUGUUA